Molecule: ribosomal RNA, 222 nt
Filed under: uncultured bacterium
Lineage: Bacteria
Description: partial 16S ribosomal RNA
Rfam family: Bacterial small subunit ribosomal RNA
Source: RNAcentral
CGCGUGAGGAACCUGCCUCAAAGAGGGGGACAACAGUUGGAAACGACUGCUAAUACCGCAUAAGCCCACGGCUCGGCAUCGAGCAGAGGGAAAAGGAGCAAUCCGCUUUGAGAUGGCCUCGCGUCCGAUUAGCUAGUUGGUGAGGUAACGGCCCACCAAGGCAACGAUCGGUAGCCGGACUGAGAGGUUGAACGGCCACAUUGGGACUGAGACACGGCCCAG